This 357-nucleotide ribosomal RNA is filed under the name Austroboletus asper. RNAcentral's name for it is "partial large subunit ribosomal RNA". It matches the Rfam family "Eukaryotic large subunit ribosomal RNA", at positions 504 to 864 of the family's 3401-position model. Lineage: Eukaryota; Fungi; Basidiomycota; Agaricomycetes; Boletales; Boletaceae. The record is from RNAcentral.
CAUGGUACAAAGCUGAAAGAAAUGUGGCACUUUUCGGAGUGUGUUAUAGUCUUUCAUCGUAUGCAGUGCUUGGGACUGAGGAACUCUGCACAACCUCUAGGUUUUGUGCAUAGGUUGCUGGCAUAAUGGCCUUAAGCGACCCGUCUUGAAACACGGACCAAGGAGUCUAACAUGCCUGCAAGUAUUUGGGUGAUAAAACUCGAGUGCGAAAUGAAAGUGAAAGUCAAGACCUCUGUCAUGGAGGGCAUUGACACCCGGACCAAAGUCUAUGACAAUGGAUCCGCGGUAGAGCAUGUAUGUUGGGACCCGAAAGAUGGUGAACAUAUGCCUGAAUAGGGUGAAGCCAGCAGGUAACUC